RNAcentral lists this long non-coding RNA (1666 nucleotides) under Equus caballus (horse). RNAcentral's name for it is "lncRNA (ENSECAG00000047821.1)". The record is from RNAcentral. Lineage: Eukaryota; Metazoa; Chordata; Mammalia; Perissodactyla; Equidae.
AAUCUCCCCAAAUCUUAGUGUCUUAAAUAGUGAAAGUUUGUUUUUCACAUCAUGUCAGGGAAAAAUCUGCUUUUUCUCCUGAGCAACUAAUAUUUUUUUUCUCUUAUGGACGUUACAAACCUGAUAAUGGAUUGAUUUUCCUCAUUGACUUAGCUACUAGGAAGCUCUUUUUAGCAACUGUUCAUUAUGUUUACUGAUAUUCCCUGGCUCAUCUUCCUAUUUGACUUUGAUUUGCUCAUAACUUGGAUUUCUUCCUCCCUACCACCCCCGCCCCCAAUAUUGUGAUACUUUUGUUUGUUGCCUCAAAAUCCCUUUGGGGAUGAGAUGAGCUGUAGAGUAAAUGAAUGACUCAAAAGCAGUCUUGCUGGAAGAUGGCUGCUAUUGAAGGGAAAUUGGGGAACAACCUCUUUGACAAACAAAUGUUUCCUGUGAUUCAGAUGGGUCCAUAAAAAAAUCAGACAAGGACUAGAAUGUAAGCUUUAAGAGGGCAUGGACUUUGUUUUGCUGUCACUGUGUCCCCAGUACCUAAAAUAGUGCCCUGUGCACAGUAGGAGCAGAAAGAAAGAAAGAAGGAAAGAAGGAAAAGAAAGAAAUAAAGAAAAAGAAAAACAAAGAAAGAAAGAAAGAAAGAAAGAAAGAAAAAGAAGGAAAGAAAGAAAAACAAAGAAAGAAAGAAUGAAGCCACUGUUCUUAGAGAAGGGGAAAGAACCUUAAGGACUGGUGCUGGAAGACCCUGAAGAUAUCUGUAGUCUUACUUAUAACCAACUGUGCAACCUUGGGCAAGCACCCUACCCUCUUUGGAUUGCUGGUUGGUCUGUAAAAUGAAGUGGGUGAGAUGAGUGGAUGUGAAGAAGAUUGAACUCAGUAAUGGAUAUAAAGUAUUUUGGGAAAAAUAUUGUGCUUUCAUCAUUUUUCUUUCUUUGAAGUCUCUGUAUGGGAAAAUAUCCAGAUAGGCUUGUUCUGGGACCAUAGUGGACCAGCUGUGCACCAGGGUGGAUUCCAAAGACAUUGCCAGGUGGUUAGACUGGUGGAUUGUACCCAGAUCAAAUAUGUGCAAGUGGCAAAGACUGAGGUGUUUUCCAGAACUUUUUACUGGGGCUGGUGUCGUAUGCCCACCUGAUAAAUGAUGCUCUGAGCAGUGUUCAGGAACGAUUGAGUUCUUUCUCACUCCAGGUGUCUGUCUCAUUCCUCACAUAGAAGCAAUGCCUUACGUUUUUACGAUGCCUCGCAGUUCACAAAGCCAGUUGGAACACAUGUUGUCAUCAACCCUGCAACCACACUUAGAGGUAGGUGCUGUCCCCAUUCUGAAGAUGAUGAAAAUGAGGCUAAGGGAGAUGACAUCACUUGCCCAAAGCCACAGAGCCACGUGGUGACAGAGGCAGCUGAUGGCCCACGCUCUUUUCUCCAAACAUUGCUCCAUCACUCCAACUUUACAGAUUAAGUCUCUGGUAUUCCAGUGUGCUGACUUGCACUGGAUCUUUCCUGGACAUAGGGAACCAAGUGAUCUCCUCAUUUGAGGAUCCCAAGGGAUGGCUACUUUCUCCUGGAGGGAUUUUAAGAGAAGGUCAAAAGAGAAUUUGUCUCCCUGAAAGUUGCCUUGACUUCUGGGGAAGUCUUAUUCUAACCACUAGAGUCUUUUCAUGUCCAGGCCCACUGCAUCCACCCA